RNAcentral lists this ribosomal RNA (352 nucleotides) under uncultured Anaerolineaceae bacterium. RNAcentral describes it as "bacterial SSU rRNA". It matches the Rfam family "Bacterial small subunit ribosomal RNA", at positions 1013 to 1382 of the family's 1533-position model. The record is from RNAcentral. Lineage: Bacteria; Bacillati; Chloroflexota; Anaerolineae; Anaerolineales; Anaerolineaceae.
GACCUUCGGGAGCUUGCACAGGUGCUGCAUGGCUGUCGUCAGCUCGUGUCGUGAGAUGUUCGGUUAAGUCCGCUAACGAGCGCAACCCUCACUGUGUGUUAUAUGUGUCACACGGGACUGCCGGUUUUAAGCCGGAGGAAGGUGGGGAUGACGUCAAGUCAGCAUGGCCUUUAUAUCCUGGGCUACACACACGCUACAAUGGUCGGUACAAUAGGUUGCCAAGCCGCGAGGCGGAGCCAAUCCAAAAAAGCCGGCCUCAGUUCAGAUUGUAGGCUGCAACUCGCCUGCAUGAAGAUGGAGUUGCUAGUAACCGCAGGUCAGCAAUACUGCGGUGAAUACGUUCCCGGGUCUU